GAUGAACGCUGGCGGCGUGCCUAACACAUGCAAGUCGAACGGAGCCCUUUAGACGAUUUCCUUCGGGGAAGAGAUUAAAGAAGCUUAGUGGCGGACGGGUGAGUAACGUGUGGGUAAUCUGCCCUUGUCAGGGGAAUAACUGUUCGAAAGAAUAGCUAAUACCUCAUAAAAUAUAGAGAAGGCAUCUUAACUAUAUCAAAGAUUUAUCGGACAAGGAUGAGCCCGCAUCUGAUUAGCUAGUUGGUAGGGUAAAAGCCUACCAAGGCAACGAUCAGUAGCCGACCUGAGAGGGUGACCGGCCACAUUGGAACUGAGAUACGGUCCAAACUCCUACGGGAGGCAGCAGUGGGGAAUAUUGCACAAUGGGGGGAACCCUGAUGCAGCAACGCCGCGUGAGCGAAGAAGGCUUUCGAGUCGUAAAGCUCUGUCGCAGGAGAAGAGAAAAGACGGUAACCUGUGAGGAAGCCCCGGCUAACUACGUGCCAGCAGCCGCGGUAAUACGUAGGGGGCAAGCGUUAUCCGGAAUUACUGGGCGUAAAGGGUGCGCAGGCGGUUAAAUAAGUUAGGGGUUUAAAGCAUUGGCUCAACCAAUGUACGCCUUUAAAACUAUAUAACUUGAGUUGAGGAGAGGAAAGUGGAAUUCCUAGUGUAGCGGUGAAAUGCGUAGAUAUUAGAGGAAUACCGGUGGCGAACGCGACUUUCUGGACUCAUACUGACGCUCAUGCACGAAAGCGUGGGGAGCAACAGGAUUAGAUACCCUGGUAGUCCACGCCGUAACGAUGAGUACUA
Molecule: ribosomal RNA, 789 nt
Filed under: uncultured bacterium
Lineage: Bacteria
Description: bacterial SSU rRNA
Rfam family: Bacterial small subunit ribosomal RNA
Source: RNAcentral